This 67-nucleotide transfer RNA is filed under the name Marmota monax (woodchuck). RNAcentral describes it as "tRNA.Glu". The record is from RNAcentral. Lineage: Eukaryota; Metazoa; Chordata; Mammalia; Rodentia; Sciuridae.
GGUAUAGUUUAGUUGGUAGAGUGCUUGUCUCUCAAGCACAUGGCCCUGGGUUCAAUCCCCAGCACCA